Molecule: signal recognition particle RNA, 88 nt
Filed under: human gut metagenome
Description: Bacterial small signal recognition particle RNA
Rfam family: Bacterial small signal recognition particle RNA
About the family: The signal recognition particle (SRP) is a universally conserved ribonucleoprotein involved in the co-translational targeting of proteins to membranes. Archaeal SRP consists of a 7S RNA and homologues of the eukaryotic SRP19 and SRP54 proteins. In most bacteria, the SRP consists of a 4.5S RNA and the Ffh protein (a homologue of the eukaryotic SRP54 protein).
Source: RNAcentral
GGGUUCCGUGCGAUGUGGAGAUGUGAACCCUGUCAGGUCUGAAAGGAAGCAGCAGUAAGCAUUGCAAGCGUGUGCUGCGGCCAAGCCU